Molecule: transfer RNA, 86 nt
Filed under: Galdieria sulphuraria
Lineage: Eukaryota; Rhodophyta; Bangiophyceae; Galdieriales; Galdieriaceae
Description: Selenocysteine transfer RNA
Rfam family: Selenocysteine transfer RNA
Source: Rfam by way of RNAcentral
GCCCACUUGACUCUUGCUGGUGCAAGAUAAGGCCUUCAAAGCCUUGGCAGCUGCAAAGCUGAGCGGUUCAAUUCCGCCUGGGGGGC